This is a non-coding RNA of Synchiropus splendidus (mandarinfish), 306 nucleotides long. RefSeq annotates it as small Cajal body-specific RNA 2. The transcript has a single exon. NCBI's taxonomy places the organism in Eukaryota, Metazoa, Chordata, Actinopteri, Syngnathiformes, Callionymidae. The record is from RefSeq and is a predicted model, not a curated record.
GUGUGUGUGUGUGAGAGAGGAAGUGCGCGAGCGAGUGUGAGUGUGAGUGAUUGUUCCUUUUAAAACCUACACACUGAUCUUAUUUGAUCCGGACCGAGUGUGGCUCCGCUUGGUCCGGAGAUGAUAGCACCUUCGCUUGCUAGCCUUGAGCGGCGAUGCGCAGACGGCGCGCUGGAAAGACUGGGGCCGCCACCGACUCUGUUGUGGCAAGAGGUGAUGAAUUGAUCAGAUAUACUAGUGCCGCGUGUGUUGGGCUGCGUCCCGAGCCGCAGGCGGCGCCGUGAGUACAGAAGCGAUUCUGAUCUG